Long non-coding RNA from Ictalurus punctatus (channel catfish), 681 nucleotides. RefSeq lists it as uncharacterized. The transcript has 3 exons. NCBI's taxonomy places the organism in Eukaryota, Metazoa, Chordata, Actinopteri, Siluriformes, Ictaluridae. The record is from RefSeq and is a predicted model, not a curated record.
UUCAAAGUGACAUUGGUUGAAGCAUCAAAAUAGACUAUGAAUUCUCACUUCCUUUUCUUUUUUUUUUUCUUUUUCUUUCUUCCACUUUUUAUUUGGCUGACUUGAUGCCAUGGUGUGGACAGGACUUUGGGGUUUAUCAGCAAACAGGUGGCGACAGAAUGGAAGGACAGAUUUAAGGGCAUAAAGGCAGAGGCAACUGUGGUGAGGAAAAACCUUGGGAACUAGACUUAAAAUGGUGUCUAUCUUCAUCACCUAGAAAUCCUAGCAUUUUAGAGACUCCAUGGUCUCAUUUCUAUGGAUUUUGUAAUGCACCUACCUGCCUGCUACAUCAGUUUCUCUGGUGAUUGUGCUUCGGUUUUGCUUCAAGGUAUUCUGGACUUUAUUGAACACCACUGUUCACCUCUCCUCAAACCAAUAGCUGAAACAACAAGCUUGAAGAACACCAGCUUAGUCUUCCAGGUGUCCCGCCCAUGUGCUCCAGAGGCUUCUGGGAGUCUACCAAUCAGAGCGUGUGAAGGGGUUGAAUGGAUGACGUGGAGAAAACAUCAGAAGCACCAAAUUCAAUGGCACAAAUAUUUCAGAUGUAUACGAAUUGUUAGUUUUGAAAAAAAUUGGCUUCAAAAAUCCUGGAAGUGUGCAAACGAAAAUGAAAUGCAUUGUUUAAAAUGAAUUAACGCAAAA